AAGUCGUAACAAGGUUUCCGUAGGUGAACCUGCGGAAGGAUCAUUAACACGUAUCCACGUAUCCACAAAAGCGAACAAAUUUUCACACUCCCUGAGUCAUGUUACACGAGUCCGGUAGAUGGAUUGGGUUUAAAGGGUUUGAAUGGGACUCGCAAGAGUCGACCCCCCGGUUCUAUGUAGACGGUUUUGGAUUUUAUUAUCCACUAUCCGGCCAACGGCUGUAGUAAAAGGCAAAGGCAUUCUCUUAUGGGCAUGGCUCCCAAUUCACGCUGAGCCCAUAGGAAACCACAAUAACUAUAAUCACCCCCUUUUUGCUAGUUGACUUUUAUAUGUUGUCCUCAGAUGCGAAUUAAUUUUCGUGCCUGGAGUCACACGUUUAUUUACUUGAACGUUAAAAUACAACUCUUAGCAAUGGAUAUCUUGGUUCUC
Molecule: unclassified non-coding RNA, 429 nt
Filed under: fungal sp.
Lineage: Eukaryota; Fungi
Description: partial internal transcribed spacer region
Rfam family: Eukaryotic small subunit ribosomal RNA (bases 1-46)
Source: RNAcentral